AAGUCGUAACAAGGUUUCCGUAGGUGAACCUGCGGAAGGAUCAUUAACACGAAUUAAUAUAUCCAUAUAUUCAAACCCACCGUGAACUUUUUUUCUCCCUAUUCCCCAUAUUGGAGUUUAGGCUACCGUUUCCAUUUAUAAUUUUUACCACAUUUACAAAUUUUGUUUUGCUUUGUCUAGUCGUUCUGUAAUGAAAUGCUAUGAAGAGUAAAUCAAGCACACACUAAAAAACCAUAUUAUCUUUGAAAAAAGAUUAUGUUUUUUUCUUAUUACGAAAUAAUAGUAAGUUUAUAAAACAACUCUUAGCAAUGGAUAUCUUGGUUCUC
Molecule: unclassified non-coding RNA, 326 nt
Filed under: fungal sp.
Lineage: Eukaryota; Fungi
Description: partial internal transcribed spacer region
Rfam family: Eukaryotic small subunit ribosomal RNA (bases 1-46)
Source: RNAcentral